This 471-nucleotide ribosomal RNA is filed under the name uncultured bacterium. RNAcentral describes it as "bacterial SSU rRNA". It matches the Rfam family "Bacterial small subunit ribosomal RNA", at positions 30 to 496 of the family's 1533-position model. The record is from RNAcentral.
AUUGAACGCUGGCGGCAGGCUUAACACAUGCAAGUCGAGCGGAAACGAUGAUAGCUUGCUAUCAGGCGUCGAGCGGCGGACGGGUGAGUAACGCGUAGGAACCUACCUAUUAGUUUGGGAUAGCCAUUGGAAACGAUGAUUAAUACCGGAUACGCCCUACGGGGGAAAGGGGGCUUCGGCUCUCGCUAUUAGAUGGGCCUGCGUGAGAUUAGCUAGUUGGUGAGGUAAUGGCUCACCAAGGCAACGAUCUCUAGCUGGUUUGAGAGGAUGAUCAGCCACACUGGGGACUGAGACACGGCCCAGACUCCUACGGGAAGCAGCAGUGGGGAAUAUUGCACAAUGGGCGCAAGCCUGAUGCAGCCAUGCCGCGUGUGUGAAGAAGGCUCUAGGGUUGUAAAGCACUUUCAGCAGUGAGGAAGGUUAGUAGUUAAUACCUGCUAGCUGUGACGUUAACUGCAGAAGAAGGACCGG